Misgurnus anguillicaudatus (oriental weatherfish) is the source of this 1484-nucleotide non-coding RNA. The record is from RefSeq and is a predicted model, not a curated record. NCBI's taxonomy places the organism in Eukaryota, Metazoa, Chordata, Actinopteri, Cypriniformes, Cobitidae.
UUAUUUAUGAGCAGAACUGACUACAUGGUGGUGAGAUUUCUAACUACACACACAGUUCAUUUUAAGGUUGACACCCUAGUGGUCCUGCCCUAUAGUUUCACAUUUUAACUAAUCUGUAUAUAUUGUUCAGUAGUGCUUAGUAACUUUCAUGUGUGUGAACCUGCAUUAACGUAUACAACAUGAAAAGUGAAGCCUUCUUCAUUGUUUCCAGGUAUUUUUUCCACACUUCACAAGGAUGGGGACAUCACUCAGAAGAGUGAAGUUUCGAGAAGCCCUGGAUAACAACUACAAUAACAUUCUGAAGUUCGUCCAAGGAGUCAACUAUCAUCAACGGGGUGCUUCUUGGGCAUUAAUUCGGAGACAGACAGGCAGAAAGGACAGAAACAACAAGCUGCAAGUCUGUACACUGAUUAGAAAACUUAUGACUUGAAUGGAUGUCAGUCUAGUGUGUCACAAAUACUAGUUCUUUGUUUAGCUAGAGGCGAUUGUACACUUUGUACUCUUACAAUGUUCUAUAUCAGGAGUCUCCAACGUGGUGCCCAUGGGCAGCAGGUAGCCCGCACAGAGUCUGUGAGGUGCCCACCAAAUCACAUUCUAUUAAUAGUCUCAAUUGUAAUAUUUGUUGAUUACAUAUUUUUUAUAUUGACUUGGCUUGGUUUACAUAUAUUACAAUUUUAAACAAUACAAAAACAUAUCAAAAAGUACAAUGAAAUAAAAUCAACAAGUAAAACAAAAAAGUUUUGAGUAGACUAUAUCAAAAGUUAGCCCUCCAGAAUGUUUUAUCCAUUGUGGUAGCCCUUGAUCACAAAAAGGUUGGAGACCCCUGUUCUAUAUUGUGUCUGUUACAUAAAGAUACAUGAAGAAAUAAGUGAAUGUCAGUCUACAUUGUAAAAAUAAAAUAUUUGUUGCACUUAUUUUUUAAGUUUAAUUAACUCUAAAUUACAAUUUAUUUCAACUUUCUUGACUAGUGAGGACUUGCUAUUAAUUAUAAAAAAUAAAGUUGAAAUAACUUAAGCUAACUACUUUAAUUUUAUAAUUUAUAGCAACUCUUCAUUAGUCAAAAAAAAGUUAAAUGAAUUAUAAAUUCAAGUUGAUUAAAUUGAAAAAUGUAAGUUCCGUUUUUUACAAUGUAGAGCGGGGUGGGCAUUCCUGGUCUUUGAGGGCCACUGUCCUGCAAAGUUUAGCUCCAACCCUAAUCAAACACACCUCAAUGUCAUUUCCAAGUCAUACUGAAGCCUUUGAUUGAGAUUUUCAGGUGUGUUUGAUUAGGGUUGGAGCUAAACUUUGCAGGACAGUGGCCUUCAAGGACCUGGAAUGACCACCCCUGCUGUAGAGUGUAAGCAGUGUUCCAAUGCACGAAAGGAAAUAUUAUUCUGUGUAGUUAUUAUUCUGAUGUUAUUUAUACUAUCUGAGAUAGUCAAUGAAUAAUAUGUAAUAAUAAUAUGUAAUAAUAUGUUAUGUACAAAAUAAAAGUAUGAAAUCGA